Molecule: long non-coding RNA, 2217 nt
Organism: Drosophila pseudoobscura
Lineage: Eukaryota; Metazoa; Arthropoda; Insecta; Diptera; Drosophilidae
Exons: 3
Source: RefSeq, a predicted model, not a curated record
UAACCGUGUCAAAUAUACGCUCUUGAGUAUUACGAUUCGAAUUUCGAAUCAUAGAAAAAUCCAAUCUGCUGUACUCUGACGCUGUCCGUUGGUGACGCGCUCUCUGGGCUCUAGCUUAUCUUUAAUCCCCAACGAAUCACUCUCAUGUUUACUUACGGUUCCAUCUGCAUCUAAUGCAUUUUUACACGACCAAAUAAUGCCAGAACUCACCUGCAACGAGAGAGAGAGAGAGAAAGGAAGACAUAGAGUGAGACGGAAUGAUGAUUAGCAGCAAAUGCAGCGUAAAUGCAAUUCGAAUGAUAAAUCAACGAUCUAAAAAUACAGCCAGCAACAACAAAAACAGCGUCAGCGGCCAAAUAAGGCAAACAAUUGCAAAAAUCUGCAUGUGGAUGGGCUGCCUGCCCCCGAUGCCCGCAGUCGACUCUGACGUCGCAGUAGACGACGACGACGCACAGCAAAGCUAAAAAUAAUUCACGCUGUUCGCUUAGAAAAUCCAAAAUUAGCCGCGGCCGAGUUGCACAGUGGUCGGAGUUCACAUCAAAAGCAGAGAGAAAUCCAACCAAAGUCGAGAGCAUUUCCAAACAGAUAAAAGAUUUUCCUUUUUUGCGCACCCACUGUAGCUGGCGUCACCGUUGAGCGUGGACAGAGCCGUAAGCAGCGACGCAAACGCCGAUGCCGAGCGACAGCAGGUUGGCAGAAAGUCUGCCACUGAUAACGGGAAAUGGCAUGCAAUGCCAGCAACAGCAGCCACAAUAAGGAGAGCCUCACCUCACUCUCGUGCCGGCCGCGUGUGUCUUUCUUCAAGCUCUCUCACGCCAAAAUAAACAAAACAAAUGUAAAGUGCGCCUCCGCCUCGCCCUCUGGAAAUGCUUGGUACAGCCACCAGACCGCCCAACCACCCCACCACACACCCCCCCUCGACCCACAACCUAGGGCAAGCCAUGAAAAUAAAUAUGUGGGCACAACAAAAAUGAAAAUUGUACGCGAAAUGUGCCGCAAAUGGCAGCAGAUUUGCCAUUAAAAUUUACAAAGGUUCUCGCUCUCGUCGUUAAGGCAGAGAAAGAGAGAGAGAGAGAGAGAAAGCGCCAACGCGUUGGGGCACAAGGUAUAUAAGGCCGAUGGUAGGGCAGUGCAACAGAGAGUGACCAAAUGUUUUAAUGUUAGAGCGAGCGAGAGUGGAGAUUAAGCCUGGGACCUUACCUUUGCUUCAAUAUACUUUUGAGGGGGGAGGCUAGGAUACGCAGACAGACCCAACUCCAGAGAGUCAGAGAGAGAGAGAGAGAGAGAGUGGGAGGCGAAGUAGAGGAAAGAAAAAGCAAAUCAAAACAACAGAAAGAAAACAAUCACAAAUGCAGGCAAAACAAAAAAAACUCUGCCUAACGGACUGACUAAGUGACUCGUUCUCUCUCUCCCUCUCUCUCUCUCACUCUGUCAGUCUAUGUGGACUGUUAAAUAACAGCUGAAAAUUAACAGUGAGUGUUUUUGGAACAAGCAAUUAAAGCUGUAAUCAAGCAAUUAGAAGUACAAUUACCAAAAAGUUGGAGCAAAUUGUGUGUGCGAAAAGAAAAGAUGUGGAACGAAGCAUUUUUAGGGAGAACUGCAGAGACGGAUGGAUAUACGAACCCCGCGCGACGUCUCUUCCUAAAUCUACUGCCACAUUACCCAUACGCAGCGUGUUGCAGCUGCAAACCAAACAUUCCUGCGGCCACGGAUCUGUUGUCAAGCGGCACUAAAAGUGUCGCAUAUGUUUUGUAAAUUAAUUAAUAUAUCUUACACCCCAUAAAGUGCAACACAACAAAAAGUGCCAGAUAAAUCAUUAACAGUGACGGAAAAAAUGUUAAUUUUUUCAUGCAAAUAAUUUACAAACAUUGACAGUAUAUUAUCAUCUCUAUUUUUUUUUUUUCAUUUUUCAAGUGCUGCAGAAAAAAUAUUCAUAUCAUUAUGGCUAAAUGACAGUGGGCCAGUGAUGCCGACAACACCAAUUAGCCAAAAGUGUUGGCCAAAACAUGACAGCCUCCAAAAUGCGGAAGAAGUGUAGUACGGAAUAGAAAUUGGAGAAAGGGACAGCAAAUGCAAGCUAUAAUUAACUUAAAAUAUAGCAAAUAUUGACCACUAAUUUUCCAAGCUAUUAAAUGUUAAAACAUUUCCUGUUUUUUAUUUUCUGGCUUUACGUUACCAAAUUCCCUGCUUAUAAAAAGUUCAAAAAUCUACCAAUUA